ACUCCUACGGGAGGCAGCAGUGGGGAAUAUUGCACAAUGGGCGCAAGCCUGAUGCAGCCAUGCCGCGUGUGUGAAGAAGGCCUUGGGUUGUAAAGCACUUUCAGUCGUGAGGAAGGUAGUGUAGUUAAUAGCUGCAUUAUUUGACGUUAGCGACAGAAGAAGCACCGGCUAACUCCGUGCCAGCAGCCGCGGUAAUACGGAGGGUGCGAGCGUUAAUCGGAAUUACUGGGCGCAAAGCGCAUGCAGGUGGUUUGUUAAGUUCAGAUGUGAAAGCCCGGGGCUCAACCUCGGAAUAGCAUUUGAAAACUGGCAGACUAGAGUACUGUAGAGGGGGGUA
Molecule: ribosomal RNA, 337 nt
Filed under: uncultured bacterium
Lineage: Bacteria
Description: bacterial SSU rRNA
Rfam family: Bacterial small subunit ribosomal RNA
Source: RNAcentral